This is a long non-coding RNA of Marmota monax (woodchuck), 7395 nucleotides long. RefSeq lists it as uncharacterized. The record is from RefSeq and is a predicted model, not a curated record. Lineage: Eukaryota; Metazoa; Chordata; Mammalia; Rodentia; Sciuridae. The transcript has 7 exons.
AUCAAAUACUUGCUAUAUUUGUAGUAUCCUUGAUUAAUGGAUAAAGAGCUUCUGGGAAAAGCAAACCAGUUCAUUUAAGUAACAUGUUUAUAAUAGGAGAGUGGCAGCCCAGGUGAGAUCUGAAGUAUAUUUUUGGAUUGUUUUAGCAGUGAGAAUUUGGAUUGAGUCCCUUCAACAUCAAAAUGAACUAGACGGGGUCAGUGAAUGAACACUUGCUCACCUAAGAGAUGAAGAAUCUGGAAAACUUCUGCUUAAGAUGUGAGAAACCCUUGGUUAAGAAGAUAAAGAAACUUCCAAAGCACAAGGACCUCCUUAUCAUAGGCCACAGUAUUUAAGAAGGGUAAAGAAGAACAUUCCAAAGAAAAUACAAGGCUGAAAACUUAGAGGGUGAUGCUUGAUAUUCCAGAAAAGUACAGGAAGAGGCCAUGUUGUCAGAAGAUUUCCCUGCGUAUGAGAGAAAUUACUCUACUCCACCCUUCUCUCCUGAAUGGUUCCAGAAGAAUUGUUUAAGUAACUUAUUUUUUCAACCUUCCUGUCAGAUCUGGUUUUUCCAUCAAUACACCAUUUAUAUAUUUUUUUUUCACAAGAAAGAAGAAAGCAUUAAGAAGAUAGCCAAACAACAUGAUAUAUAUCAUCUCUGCUAAGAUCCUGCUAUGGAACUGAAUUCCUCAGAUUUGAAAUGCGUUCCAUGAAUGUAAAAGACAUAAGCAGCCAGUGCUGAUGGCUAAAAAAGGCGAAUGAGGUAACAGUAACACUGAUGGGCUGUUUGUCUCAAAUGUCCCAUAAAUACGAAUGUGAAAUUAAUUUUUUUUCAAUCUACAUUCUCUCUAUUCAAGGAAAAUUUCCUCAGUAGUAAGCCAAGAUAGGGCAUUUAAUAGAGAGUGGUUGGAAUUUGAGUUAUCAUUUCCAUGCUUAUAAUUUGGGCACUUCUUACUAGAAUAAAAUAUAUAGAGAGAGGCGCAGACUUCCUAAACUUCUUGCACAAGUCACGAAUGCAGGAUGACACUUCGGGAGGAACAAUUUCUUUUAUUUAUCAUCUUCUAAUGAGGCCUACUAGAGUGAUCUCCCCCUGCUGUGUAGUUGCUGUAAGACAGUUGGGGAAAAGGCUCACCCUGGGCCUGCUGUCGCAGCAGCUGAUGGCUUUGGCAUUUUCAUAUAAACAUGCAAGCCAAAGAGGAAUUUCUCCUUUAUAAUUGGUCCCAUGCCCCCCUUCCUGGGACAUUCCAUGAUGCCACCAAAAAUGAAGUGCUCAGAAAGGAGGAAUCAUUUCUGUUUAUGUGAAAAUAUAUCUGAAGUCCAUGAGGCAAAGGAAGAAAUAACAAAAAGCUUCAAAGCCCACAAAGAGGAGUUAUAAUCAAAUCUGGAUGCUGCUUUUUAGAUCUGGCAGUUCUCCUCCCUAUAAAUGCUCAGGGGAUGGGAGCCAGCCGCCCUUUCUCCUAUCCUUGCCUAUCUGUACAGCUAGAGGAAAGUGGCUGGCUGAUGUCCUGCCAUAGUGUUAUCUGGGUUAAGUGUGAGUAAUGCCUUUAGUGAUCCCCCACGCUCAAACACAAGCAAACGAGUUUUUUCUCAGGAGUGCUUCAUACAUACUAAGCCAUUGGUCUGAAGUUCAUAAAAUGAUGAUCAAAAAUGCCUUCAGGAGGCAGUAUAGCAUCACAGUAACAGGGCAUGGAUUUUUUUUUUAAGUAACUCAAAAUGAAGUGCAAGUUCUCCGUCAGGUUAUUUAAUUUCCCCAAGGAUCAGUUUACUCAUCUGUAAAAUGGGGAUACGAAUGCAUUUUUCAGAGUAUUUAUGUGAUUAUUAUAUAUUAUAUUUGUAAAGCACCUAGUGCAUUAUUGAGCUCACUAAGAGUUAAGUAGUUUUGUCAAAUGCCCCUUAUGUUAAUUGUCUUUGGUAUGGUUUAUGUGAUAAGGUGUAGCUUCAUAUACAGCAUAACACAAUGUCUAGAUAUUCUAUGAUUCAUAUCACCCAAGAUAUUGGUAUAAUUCAGCCUAAGGGAAAACAUACCUGGAGGGUUAAAGCAACCCUGAGCAUUAUCACCAAUCACAACACCUUGUAGCAAAUUAAACAUUUUUCCUCUAUUCUUCAAUUUCUGCUCUGAACAGACAUUAAGAAUGAUAUACAUCCUUUUCAAAGAAAAAUAUCUUGUUGACACCAGGAUAUUAUAAGGAAGUGAAGUAUCAUCUUGAAUCUUUACCCAAAUAACUCAACUGAUUUUCUGUAUAAUGGCAGUCAAAUCACCCUUCCUAUUAAAUACAAAUUCCCUAAUAUUCUCCAAAUCAAGUUUCCUUUUUGGUGGUUGAAGCCUGUUUCUUUUCAUUUGCCACAUUAGGCAAUUAAUUGGGUAUUUAUAGGCAGCUAUCAUAUACCCCACUGUCACUGCUACUCAGUCACACAUCUUAAUUUUUCCACAUCUUGCCACUUAAAUCCUACCCCUUAAUCACCUCAUCAUCUUUGUCACAUUUUAAAGUUGUCUUCCACUUAAUCAACUCCAUUUUCUAAGCUAGAGUAGGAACAAUUGUGCAGAAUUCUCCUAGUGCAGCUUUACUGAGGCUCACUGAAGAGAAAGCAUUCUCUUCUUAAGUGAUUUCUUCAGAUCCCAGGAUAGUUUUUGCUUCUAGUGCAAGAGCAUCACCGUGUGAGCUAUUCCUGAUCUGCACUUCAGCAUUGCCCUCCAUCUAUUUCUUAUUAAUGCUUUUCAUUGUCAAAUGGCACUCUCACUGGUGGGGGCUGAGCCCAUUAGGAGAGAAAGCACUGCACCCCUUCCCCAUGAUCUCUUGGCCUCAUUGGCUCCUACCACCCUCCCUGGGCAUGCUCCUGCCCACUGUUCCCUAGUGGUCAGCCCUCAUGGACCCCCUUCUAAUGUACCUCAGGAUCCUUGGUCCCUUGAGCUAAAACAAAAACAAAAACAAAAAACAGGAGAAAUCCUGACCCUUGGAGGAGAGUCAGUUUCAUUUGGCUUCCUCUCACUUUGUUUGUGUAAACUGGCCAAUUUCUCCAGUAAAUGGCCAUUACAACUUGUCUUAUGCAGCUCCAAGGGACACAUGUUCCUGGUGGGGUAACCCACAAAUCACUUUUCCUCAGGAUCUUCAUAAAAGCUCUAGGGAGAGAAAGGACUCAACUGUCAAAUAACUUAAGGAAACGUGGCAUUCUGUACCCCUCUCCUGGAAGCAUAGACACAUCUGAGAAUGUCAACAGUUUGAGAAAUGUGAAGGUAAAGAAAACCCAUUGACCUUUGUCUAAUGCAGUCUUCCAAAGAUGUUUCGCUAUAUGGUCAUUACUUGGAGGAACAAUUAUCACUAACCAAUUCAAGAACCUGGGCAUCCUCCAAGAUACAUUUUGGAAAUGCUGCACUGGUCAUGGUCCUCCUCUAAUGUUCCCUGAAAAAGCUGUGACACUUUAAUCCAUGAACUCUGAAUUAUUAUUUUCACCUGCAUGAUCUGUCAGAGAAAACUGUUUUGUGAGGACACUUUUGCACUAUGUGGUGUCCACUCACUUUAUAUAUAAAAUAUUCAUCCAAGAUCUUCUAGUAAGAAAACAGAUAAAGGAGUCAGUUCAGCUUCACACAGAUGUGACGGCAACAGUCUCAGGAUUUCCCUGUCCUCAGUGCAUUUCAUUUGAUUGGUCUCCAUGAUGUGCCCUUUUUCUGGGAUGCUUAUCUAUCAGUCAGCAUAUGGCACAGAGUAAAUACUAAAUCAACAUUUUUUUAAAACAAACCAAAAAUUGUUCUUGUUUAAUUCUUAGAGAAAUACACAUGAUUAUUUUGAUGUUUCAUGGUUUAAAAAAUAACUAAUAAGGUGGCUAGUUUUAUUUUUACCCAAGACUCUUUGCUACUGUAAAUGCUGUUAAAAAAUUCAUUAAUUAUCUACAAGAGCUUCCACUUACUCCUUCUAUGUGCUAAGUACUUGGCAUAUACUAUUAUUUGAUUACUGUAAGUUGCAAUGAGAUAAGUAUUUGAUCUUGUAGUGCAAAAAAUAAAGAUACUAUUGAGUCAGAUUAGACUGUUAAGUAUCUCUAAUUAGAAAUCACAACGUGUAGUUUUGAUCUCAGGUCUCUCGAACCUACCCUAUCUUGUAUGCACACCAUAUAUGCAUAUCAGGUGUAUAGGUGAAAACAAAAGCAAAUUAAUUUUUCUUACUAAUCAUAUGUGUAUUGUAGAUACACACACACACAUAACAUAAAAUGUACUUUGUCAACAAUUUUUAGUGUGAGUGGCAUUGAGUACAUUCACAUUGUUAUGCAACAAUCACUGUCCUCCAUCUCCAGAAUUUUGUCUUCUUCCCAAACUGGGAGUCUGUAUAAAACAUUGACUCCCUAUCCACUACACUCAGUCCCUGACAACAACCAUUUUACUUUUGUGUCUUUGACUAUUCUAGGAAGCACAAUAUUUGUUACUAAUUAAUUUUUAAACUCUUGCUCUGAUAAUGCUAUCAACCACAUGCUCAGAAAAAAAAAAUCAUCUUAACUUUCUUAUACCAAUAAAUCAUUGUUUGCAGUUUUAUUAAUGUUUCUCAAAGAAAAUCAGGCUCUAACUUUAAAACAAAACCCACAAGUGGAAAUUUCCCAACUCAGCCCCAGGGCCAUAAGCAGAUCACUGCAAAGACAAAGCAUCCAGGUCAAAUACAAAGCAAAGGGUGACAUCCUUUGAAGUUUGGAACUCAACACCAAGACUAUUUUGGCAUCUCCAUGAACCCCAAACUUGCUUUGGACAAACAGACUGCAGUCAGAAAGUUUUCCUGGUUCCACUCCAACAACUUAUGUGGCAUCAUGAUUUCUGCUUGCCCUCUUGUUCUUCAGUGUUUGCCACAAGACCAUGAGCAACACACAGCAAAACUGAGCUCACCCUGCAGUGAGGAAUGGAGCCACCCAGCUGAUCUACAAGCACAGAAUAAAUAAGUGCUUAUGUUUGAAUGCCAUUAAAAUUUUGUGGUUCUUUAUUACACAGUAUUAUUGUGACAAUAGUUACCUGAUAUAUGUAUAAUAUGAGCAAAAUGGGUAUUCUCCACCAGGAUUCUAGGGGAAAAAAGUUAGUUUUCUAUUUUAGUCAGCUUUUCCACUGCUAUGACUGAAAGACCCAACCAGCACAACUGUAGAGGAGAAAAAGUUUAUUUGGGGGCUGACAGUUUUCGAGGUCUCAGCCCAUAGACAGCAGGCUCCAUUCCUCGGGGCUUGAGGUGAGGCAGGACAUCAUGGAGGUAGAGUGUGGUAAAGGGAAGCAGCCCACGUGAUGACCAGGGAGCAGAGAGUGAAAUCUCCACUAGGCAAAUACAAAUAUAUACCCCAAAGCCAUGACUCCAAUGCCUGGCCUCCAUCAGCCACACCCCACCUGCCUUCAGUCACCACCCAAUUAAUCCCAUUGGGUGACUAAUUCACUGAUUGGGUUAAGGAUCUCAUAACCUCAUCGUUUUUUCUCUGAACCUUCUUGUAUUGCUUUACAUGUUAGCUUUUGGGGAGCACCUCAGAUUUAAACCAUAUCAUUUUCCACUUUCCUCACAUUGGGUCUUCAUUCCUUUACCAUGAAAGGCAGUAAAAAUCUGGUUGAUGGAUAAAGUGUUACAUCCAAUUAAUUAAUUCUAGGUUGGCCACUGACUUGCCUUUUCUCUCACUAUCAUGUUAACAAUUUGCUUUUCUUCUAAUGCACUGGGGAUACCAAUGACUGGAUGACCUCAUUUUUAAAUGCAUAGGGUUAAGUUAAAUCAGUGAUUCUUGAAUUGUAGCUUGGGGCCUAUGGUUUCACAAAGAGAUGUUUGGAGAAUCAUGGUAGGGUCAAAGUAGGAAAGUUAAACAAUUAAAGUGCUAACCUAUCAAUCAUCAAAUUUCUGCUUCAAUGUGUUUUAGUUAUCUAGAUUUCAUUUGGAAAAUCAAUUCAACUCUUAAAACAUUAAAACUACUGGACAAAAUGCCAUUUAAAGUCUCCUCAGACUGAAAGCACUAUGAUUACAGUCCUUAUUUUGAUAAACCCUCUUCUCUUUAUCUCUAUUUCUAUGACCCUAAUUUAUGAGAUCAUCAUCUACACCUGUAAUAACUUCCUGACUUUACUCCCUUCUUCCUUAAGUUGUGGAUUGUGCCUUUUCACUCCUCUACUUAAAAUUAAGAUAAACCCAGCCUUGGUGGGACCUCAAGCCUCUGCAUCUCUUCAUCUCAUUUCCUGCCUCUUGCUCCUCUCCUUGCUCUUUCAUAUUGGCUUAAAACACACCCAGCUCUUUUCUGCCUUGGAAUCUUUUCAUAUUCUGUUCCCUCUGCUUGGAAUGCUCUUCCCAUAUUAUUCAAAUACCAACUCCUUUGUAUCCUUCAGUCUCAUGUUUAUCAGCCAGCCUCUCAAAGAGGCUUUUUCUGACCAUUCAAAUUACCUAAGGCCCUCACUUUGUCCCAUUUUUCUCUGUGACAGCACAAGAUCCUUUCCUUUCUUUGCCGUUAUAAACAUUUGUUAGUUAUAUUUUCAUUGAUCACAGUCUCCACAUGGCCAGAGGCCAAGUAGUCCGGUUUAUUUUUUUAAUUCCCAGGACUCAAAGCACACAGUAAAUAUUCAGUAUUGUGAAUGAAUGAAUGAGCAUUUUUACUUUUAUCAACACAUUUCCACCACCUUUCUAUACCGUAUGCAUGUCCCUAUGGCAAUGUGAACUUAGCCUCCUAGUUAUCUUCUAAAUCCACACACAACAUUCCUUACACACCAGUACUUCACAUUGUCUCUUUCAACUUGCUCUGUUCAUUAUUCUUGCCUCUCCAUAUUCUUUCUGCUUAUCAGUGGUCAUUAUCAUAAUGUUGUGGGAAAUUGUCAAGCUGACCCCAAGUCUUAGAAUUAGAUUAUACUUAGAAUGAAAUUAACAGUAACUGUUAUUCAACAAGUGAGGUCAGGUACCUGCAGAAGCACAUGCUCUGUGCCAUUUGAAUGAGGUGACUAAGACUAUCCAAAUUUCAAAAAAGGGACUAGGAAAGAGCUUCAACAAAAAGUUAUAUCCUAGCUAAUUCCAUUCUCCUCUAUAAGAAGAAAAUAAAUUAUAAAUGUAUGCUUUACAUACCGUCUAGAAAAUAAAGAUUAAAAUGAAUAAGAACAUGGAGUAUUUUUCCUGCAAUGCCCAAAGGAAACAGACAACAGAUAUGAAAGGUGGUGAUGUUAUAAUGAAAUCAAUCGGGUGGGGCAGUACACUGCUCAUAAGCUCUCACUACAGUUUGGUUGAACCACCCACCAGGAUCUUCUGAGAGUGGGCAUGAGGCUCCUAACUACCAGGAAGAGACCACCUCUGGAAAUGAAAAUGUUGGCAUUUUGACUUAAGCAGCAGUCUUUGGUGAGUUUGUCUGGUAUGAGUCAACUUUAAAAAAUUCAAUCUAUUCUGGGUUUAAUGAAAACAUUUAGUUUCUCGACUUGCAAAGCCAAGAUCCAUACCCUAAACCACAGUU